AGUGGGAUAGCUGGGCAAAUGGUGGUUCUGUUCUAAGUUUUCCAAGGAAUCUCCAUACUGCUUUCCAUAAUGGUUGCACCAAUUUGCAAUCCCAACAGCAAU
Molecule: microRNA precursor, 102 nt
Filed under: Marmota monax (woodchuck)
Lineage: Eukaryota; Metazoa; Chordata; Mammalia; Rodentia; Sciuridae
Source: RNAcentral